This 253-nucleotide ribosomal RNA is filed under the name uncultured bacterium. RNAcentral describes it as "partial 16S ribosomal RNA". It matches the Rfam family "Bacterial small subunit ribosomal RNA", at positions 524 to 776 of the family's 1533-position model. The record is from RNAcentral.
UACGUAGGGUGCAAGCGUUGUCCGGAAUUAUUGGGCGUAAAGGGCUCGUAGGCGGUCCAUCGCGUCGGGAGUGAAAAGCUGGGGCUUAACCCCAGUCCUGCUUCCGAUACGGGUGGACUAGAGGUAGGUAGGGGAGAACGGAAUUCCUGGUGUAGCGGUGAAAUGCGCAGAUAUCAGGAGGAACACCGGUGGCGAAGGCGGUUCUCUGGGCCUUAACUGACGCUGAGGAGCGAAAGCAUGGGGAGCAAACAGG